UACGUAGGUGGCAAGCGUUGUCCGGAUUUACUGGGCGUAAAGGAUGCGUAGGCGGAUGUUUAAGUGAGAUGUGAAAUACCCGAGCUCAACUUGGGUGCUGCAUUUCAAACUGGAUAUCUAGAGUGCAGGAGAGGAAAGCGGAAUUCCUAGUGUAGCGGUGAAAUGCGUAGAGAUUAGGAAGAGCACCAGUGGCGAAGGCGGCUGUCUGGACUGUAACUGACGCUGAGGCAUGAAAGCCAGGGGAGCAAACGGG
Molecule: ribosomal RNA, 253 nt
Filed under: uncultured bacterium
Lineage: Bacteria
Description: partial 16S ribosomal RNA
Rfam family: Bacterial small subunit ribosomal RNA
Source: RNAcentral